CGCGGCCGAGCUAGGCGCUGGCGGUGGCGGUAGAAAUCAGUAGCUUGUUCCUUAGGAGACCACGGCACAGCGAGCUGGGAGUGUUUACUGAGAGGCCGAGCUGGAGAGAGAGGCAGGAUCUGUUCUGAGUUUCACAGGCCUUGGGGUCCUGGCCUUCGCCAGUGGUUGGGGCGGCCCGAAAGUACGGUGGUGUUUUUAGAGGCGCAAACAAGUUUACUGGAACGACCAGAAAACUUGAACGUACUCCUGACCAACUUUCCUCCCGUUGGGUAGAGACAAUUAUCUCCUUGGAACUGUACUACAUUUGCUUGAGGUAGCUAGCGAAGCAUCAGAAAUUAAAAGUGAACAUACACGCGAAUCUGUCUUAAUUUCAAAGUAGCAUAUAUUGUGUUCUUUGGCAAAAGCAAGGAGGAAUGGGAAAAUCGUUUAUGAAAACUACUCAUCAAAUUUAGAAACUAGUACGAUAUGGUCUCGCUAGAAUCCGUAAAAUUACGGAAGCAGAGUGAAAAGUCAAGGGCAUUAAACGUUCCUGAUGACAUGCCAGGCUAUUUUAGAGAUA
Molecule: long non-coding RNA, 559 nt
Organism: Fukomys damarensis (Damara mole-rat)
Lineage: Eukaryota; Metazoa; Chordata; Mammalia; Rodentia; Bathyergidae
Exons: 2
Source: RefSeq, a predicted model, not a curated record